AAUAAGCCGUGGCACCUGCGUUGAACUGCACUUCCUUUGCUUUGCACUCCUGCACGAGCCUGAAUCUCGCGGUGGUCAGUUUAGACCCCGUGCUAAUUACAGAUAAGAGAGCCAAAAUUCAAAGCCCGAUAUUUCCAUACGGCAUUCUUGUCUCCUCUCAGCCUUGCAGUGUUUUCUCAUGAGGACAAAUAACAUUAGAGCUUUUAGUAUUUCUUUGUUUUCCCCAAGAUUAUUUGGGAAAGACGCCAUAGAAAUUAAAUGCCUUAUAUAAAAACUUCUAAAAAUUAACAUCUGUGGCAAAGUUGUGCUGGAGCACAAUUAGAGUGUGAUUCCUCUAGUGAGAAAAGUAGUGCCACCAUUGCCACAAGAAAGAGUUGCUUUUGCUUUUAAAUCUGAGAGAGAUCUUCUGCCCAGAUUUGGAGAUUUACCUUCCCUCUGCAGACAUGCAGCAGUGCAAAGUACUCUAUACAGAUCUCCACUGUCUUUGCAUGAAAUCAGUUCCCACGUUUUACAAUCUGGGCUUUGAUUUACUAGAUGUAUAUUUAAGGUAGACCUACCGUCAUAGUAAAUACUCUGAAUGGUAGGCGUGCAGGCAGAAAAGAAGAGUCAGCAUUCAUCUUCCUGCACAGGACCGGGCAAAACCCCCCAUGGAUUUGUGUCUGGGCCGUAUCUCUCAACCUCCGCAGAGGAGACAGCAGGUUUUGGAUAGCAGCAGCUGCACUCAUCUUGCAAGCUCAUAUUCCUGCCUCCCAGAAAACAAGAUCUCUGGGAACUGUCCUGAUUUUCCAGUAGCAGUUUACUCGGUUAGCAUAAAAUCGAUCACAGAUGGUGCUUUUGAUGCUGGCAGGUUGGAAAAAUAAUCUCUUGGCUUAUAUUCUGAGCACAUCUGAUCUGGACUCACCAAGUGCAAUAGAGGCUGACCAUCAUUUUGUCAUUGAAAGAGAAACACUUUCCUGACUGCAGCUAAAUUUUGGGCCAGUAUGAACAUUUUCAAUUAAAUAGCAAACUUGAACCUUAAAUAGUUACACUUUGCCCUUGCUGUUUGGCUCUCUUGCAUACCAAAGACUUAGCUCUUAGCAACAUGAAAUCCCAUCCUAAUUAGCUUCUGUUUAACAAUACCACUUUGUACCAUGCUCAGAAUGCCAAAGUCCUUCCAUUCUGGGGCUUUAGAAGAGGAGAAUGUUUCAUUUCAAGCCUGAUGCAGUUCCAAACUCUUUCUACAUUUUUUUGAAGUUUGAAGCAGUCCUUAUGUUAAACCUCAACCAUUUUGUAUGAAUAAAAAUCACAUUCAAGAAAUAAAAGACUUCUAACCAAACACAGUCCAGUACAAGAACACAAAUGAGAAGUACUGGAAUCAGCUAGAGAGAAAAACGUAUCAUUUCCUCUCCAAGGAGACAGUGAACAUGUAUGAAAUGGAACAAUUCUCACACGUACAAUCAUCAAAUGAUUUGGGACCAUUUGGCUCCUACUCCACCUGGCCUACUGACAUCUGUUGGGAUCACGUGUUUGUUGUGGGACUGCUACUGAGAUGGUGACAACACCUGGAAGAAAAAGAAGGAAAGGAGAAAGCUACCUCUUCAAAAAGCAGAAUAAUCUCAUUGAUUAUCACUUUGAUGCAUUAUUUAUCAUAUAAGUGUAUACAGGUGGCCACUUUACCAGAUGGACUGCCAUUGCACAUGUGAAAUAGAAGUUGCUGAGUGAUUGCCUUUUUCCCUUCCUUGCUGUCUAGAAACUUACUUUCUUUAGCUGCCACAUGCACCAAUGGCAACUGGGGAAGCAAACACAGAAAAGUGAAACUGGGGCCCUUGGGGACACCUGAAGCAUGUCUGUGAGCACAGACCAAGUCUCCAGUGCUCUCAUCACCUGACAUUUUUAAUGGGCAAUGCUUUUCCACAAGGUAAGUUAUUGGACUGAGAAGGACUGUUAUGUGCAGUGUUGUAUGGCAGCUUUCUCUUCUCUGAAGUGAUGCUUGCAGUCUGUUAAACCUGGGAAAAUAAUGGAAAAUAGAGAUCCCUCCAAACCCUUCUGGAUUUGUAAUUUCUACAUAUGAAGUAUUUACUUUUCUUCUGCCCAGAAAUGAAGCCAAAAUAGAAACCUUAAGGGAUUCUCUUAUUUUUCCUAAGAAGGCAAACAAACCAAAUCUUACUAAGCUAGCCAUCAGUCAUACCCUGGUGCACCUUGCCUGCUGCUGGUUCUGCAGCUCUCUGCUGCUCUAGUCUGGCUGAUACAUACUCAGCCCACCCAGAAGUAAGGGUGAUGGAAGCAGUGAGCGAUUUAUCUGUCAGUCCAAAGAGAUGGUCCCUAAACAACACCUCAGAGGAAACUCAAAAGCUUUGAUGGUUUCUGUGAAGAUGUUCUGCUAGAACAUUCCUUCCCGCGCACAUCUUGAACUGGAACACUUUGUCUUUCCUAAGCAGGCUGCCUGGACAGGAGGGAUGCUGUGCCGCAUGACACUUUGGUAGGAUCUCUUCCCUACCCAUCCCACAUAGUUGCAGAGCUCUCACUAUACCACAAAGUAUUGUAUGUAUGAAAUGUGGAAAGAAUGCCUUUUAGAAAAGCAUGUAGCUCAAAGCAUGCAGACUUUACCAUCACAAUUGAUACCUGGAGUUUCAAAGAGGAAGGGCAGUGUUUUCAAAGAUGUGUUUUUUGAGGUUUGCUGCCUGGCCUCUGGCAUUUUGAGGCUGAUCCCAAGGACUGCACCUUACUGGCUGAGUGAGGCAUAUGGUCCCACAGCAGAGCGUGGCAUGUACAUGGUUAAAUAAACAGGUGUUUUGAGGCCU
This is a long non-coding RNA of Gallus gallus (chicken), 2780 nucleotides long. The record is from Ensembl. NCBI's taxonomy places the organism in Eukaryota, Metazoa, Chordata, Aves, Galliformes, Phasianidae.